This 478-nucleotide ribosomal RNA is filed under the name uncultured bacterium. RNAcentral describes it as "partial 16S ribosomal RNA". It matches the Rfam family "Bacterial small subunit ribosomal RNA", at positions 28 to 507 of the family's 1533-position model. The record is from RNAcentral.
GACGAACGCUGGCGGCGUGCUUAACACAUGCAAGUCGAACGGGCUGCCUGGUUUUCGGAUCGGGUGGUGAGUGGCGAACGGGUGAGUAACACGUGAGUAACCUGCCCCUCUCUUUGGGAUAACGUCGGGAAAUCGGCGCUAAUACCGGGUAUUCUGGCUUCCUCGCAUGGGGUUGUUGGGAAAGGUUUUUUCUGGUGGGGGGUGGGCUCGCGGCCUAUCAGCUUGUUGGUGGGGUGAUGGCCUACCAAGGCGGUGACGGGUAGCCGGCCUGAGAGGGUGUCCGGCCACACUGGGACUGAGACACGGCCCAGACUCCUACGGGAGGCAGCAGUGGGGAAUAUUGCACAAUGGGCGGAAGCCUGAUGCAGCGACGCCGCGUGGGGGAUGACGGCCUUCGGGUUGUAAACCGCGUUCAGUGCAGAACAAGGCUCUUUGUGGGUUGAGGGUAUGCGCAGAAGAAGCGCCGGCUAACUACGUG